AGGGAGGGAGAGUGGAGAAGGUGGGGAGGGACAGUGGAAAAUGUAUAAACCCUUGGUGUGCUCUUUCUCAAUUUGUCUUUUGGUGAUUCCUUGCCUCCUCAACCAUAUUGGAGAAGGUCCCCACCCCUUCUGACCUUCUUCUCCAUUGGGUUUUCAGAAGAAGACGAGGAGAUAGGAUGCAAGCAAUUGAGACAAUAUGAUUGAGAAAGAGCCUGAGAGAGGAAGUGAAGGGAGGGAGUUUUCUGACUGAAUGAUCAAUGCUUCCAUGUUGUAAUAUCUGUCCUCUCACCCAACCAACGCCAGAUUGACCCAGUCGUACCGUAGCAUUUAUCUUAUUUCACAUUUUGAAGAAUGAAAUCUCUUGAUGUGCACAAUCUCGUUUUUCAAGUGUCCAAAUAUAUAUUUGAACACUCUGCUACAACUACUAAUACAACUAAGUACCGAAAUAAUAUAUACAUAUUUACUAAUAUCUUAUAAUAAUAAUAAUAUAUGCCAUUUAGCAGACGCUUUUAUCCAAAGCGACUUACAGUCAUGUGUGCAUACAUUCUACGUAUGGGUGGUCCCGGGAAUCGAACCCACUACCCUGGCGUUACAAGCGCCAUGCUCUACCAACUGAGCUACAGAAGGACCAUGGUGAUGUUUCUAUUAGCUUACAGUUUGUUCUGAACAUUUGAAAAACGUAUUUCUUAAAUUCACUGUGUGAUUCUGAUUUUUUGAAUGCCCUGAUGUGUAUAGGAAACAUUAUUCCAGUCAGUUGGGCCUUUUGUAAUCUGAAAUAUGAACCCUUGGAAUUUGUCAUUGCUGCUGUGGCUGACAGGAGUAGCGUGAGUCUUGUAAAGUUAGGUGUUCCUUAAUUAAUAUAUCCAGGGACGUUUUGAAGUUGAUACAUAUAUUCAGAAAAUAAAUUGGUACCGUUGUCUUCUUUUGGGGAGCGACAGUCCAUUUAGUGAUUCAGACAAUGUCUUUAUAAUUGCAUCCAAGAAUGGAUUCGCAAAUUAUUGACAGACGUUUGAAGUAGGGUUGUGAAAGUUUAAACGAAAUUGGGAUGUUUAACGUUUAGAAAAAUCCCUAAUGGAAACUUUGUUGUUGUUGUUGUUGUUGUUGUUGUCGAAGUACAGCAACUAAUCAGACUCCUCCAUUCCAAAAAUACUGAAUCUUAGGAGUCGAUUCCUAGCAGAAGAUCUGUUUUCUUUCUUCUAAAUGUCUUGGUAAAGACAUUUACAUACUUAUUGUUUUAGGAGAGAGUGGUCUGCGCGCAGGCAGCUCGAGAUUAUUUUUAUUGACAGUUCUGGUCACCUAGUGAUAGUCAUGGCUGGAAGGGAUCCAGCUUUUGUCAACCUACUGCGGAAGUUCUCCUAACCUGCUACGAAAAUGCGAAAUCUGAAUUUUAUUUGGAAAAAUGUGCAUCCUUUCGAGCCGUAAUGCCAAGAGGUGGACGUUAGUCCCGCUUCAGAAGCACCAUUCGUAUACAUGCCAAGUAAAGGACCCAUUCACUGGCGCUUCGAAACUGUCAACAGAAAAGGUUUUUGUGUCUUGUUGGCAUUUUAAAAAGCCGUAGUGUCCCCUUAGACAAACAAACUUCAUUAUCCAACUGUAGCUGUAGUCCUGUGACCGUGGUAGAUAUAACUACAUUAUUCGACUGUAGCGGUAGGCCUAUAUGACCGUGGUAGAUAUAACUACAUUAUUCGACUGUAGCGGUAGGCCUAUAUGACUGUGGUAGAUAUAACUACAUUAUUUGACUGUAGAGGUAGACAUAUAUGACUGUGGUAGAUAUAACUACAUUAUCCGAAUGUAGCGGUAGGCCUGUAUGACUGUGGUAGAUAUAACUACAUUAUUCGACUAGCGGUAGGCCUAUAUGACUGUGGUAGAUAUAACUACAUUAUCCGACUGUAGCGGUAGGCCUAUAUGACUGUGGUAGAUAUAACUACAUUAUUCGACUGUAGCGGUAGGCCUGUAUGACUGUGGUAGAUAUAACUACAUUAUCCGACUGUAGCGGUAGGCCUGUAUGACUGUGGUAGAUAUAACUACAUUAUCCGACUGUAGCGGUAGGCCUGUAUGACUGUGGUAGAUAUAACUACAUUAUUCAACUGUAGCGGUAGGCCUGUAUGACUGUGGUAGAUAUAACUACAUUAUCCGACUGUAGCGGUAGGCCUAUAUGACUGUGGUAGAUAUAACUACAUUAUUCGACUGUAGCGGUAGGCCUAUAUGACCGUGGUAGAUAUAACUACAUUAUUCGACUGUAGCGGUAGGCCUAUAUGACUGUGGUAGAUAUAACUACAUUAUCCGACUGUAGCGGUAGGCCUAUAUGACUGUGGUAGAUAUAACUACAUUAUUCGACUGUAGCGGUAGGCCUGUAUGACUGUGGUAGAUAUAACUACAUUAUCCGACUGUAGCGGUAGGCCUGUAUGACUGUGGUAGAUAUAACUACAUUAUCCGACUGUAGCGGUAGGCCUAUAUGACUGUGGUAGAUAUAACUACAUUAUCCGACUGUAGCGGUAGGCCUAUAUGACUGUGGUAGAUAUAACUACAUUAUCCGACUGUAGCGGUAGGCCUAUAUGACUGUGGUAGAUAUAACUACAUUAUUCAACUGUAGCGGUAGACAUAUAUGACUGUGGUAGAUAUAACUACAUUAUCCGACUGUAGCGGUAGGCCUAUAUGACUGUGGUAGAUAUAACUACAUUAUUCGACUAGCGGUAGGCCUAUAUGACGGUGGUAGAUAUAACUACAUUAUCCGACUGU
This is a long non-coding RNA of Oncorhynchus keta (chum salmon), 2739 nucleotides long. RefSeq lists it as uncharacterized. The record is from RefSeq and is a predicted model, not a curated record. NCBI's taxonomy places the organism in Eukaryota, Metazoa, Chordata, Actinopteri, Salmoniformes, Salmonidae. The transcript has 3 exons.